This 447-nucleotide ribosomal RNA is filed under the name uncultured Barnesiella sp. Its description in RNAcentral is "bacterial SSU rRNA". It matches the Rfam family "Bacterial small subunit ribosomal RNA", at positions 354 to 794 of the family's 1533-position model. The record is from RNAcentral. Lineage: Bacteria; Pseudomonadati; Bacteroidota; Bacteroidia; Bacteroidales; Barnesiellaceae.
UGAGGGAAUAUUGGGUCAAUGGGCGCAGGCCUGAACCAGCCAAGUCGCGUGAGGGAAGACGGUCCUACGGAUUGUAAACCUCUUUUGUCGGGGAGUAACGUGCGGGACGCGUCCCGUAUUGAGAGUACCCGAAGAAAAAGCAUCGGCUAACUCCGUGCCAGCAGCCGCGGUAAUGCGGGGGGAUGCGAGCGUUAUCCGGAUUUAUUGGGUUUAAAGGGUGCGUAGGCGGUCUGUUAAGUCAGCGGUGAAAGACCGGCGCUCAACGCCGGGGCUGCCGUUGAUACUGGCGGACUUGAAUUCGGAUGCCGUUGGGGGGAAUGUGUGGUGUAGCGGUGAAAUGCAUAGAUAUCACACAGAACACCGAUUGCGAAGGCACCUGACGAAUCCGACAUUGACGCUGAGGCACGAAAGCGUGGGGGAUCAAACAGGAUUAGAUACCCUGGUAGU